RNAcentral lists this unclassified non-coding RNA (201 nucleotides) under uncultured fungus. RNAcentral describes it as "partial contains 18S rRNA, ITS1 and 5.8S rRNA". Lineage: Eukaryota; Fungi. The record is from RNAcentral.
AGGUGAACCUGCGGAAGGAUCAUUCAUAAUAAGUGUUUUAUGGCACUUUUUAAAUCCAUAUCCACCUUGUGUACAAUGUCAGUCGAUCUUCUUCAUGGAGAUCGGCCAAACAUCAACCUUAUUUUUUAACUCUUUGUCUGAAAAAUAUUAUGAAUAAACAAUUCAAAAUACAACUUUCAACAACGGAUCUCUUGGCUCUCG